UGAAUACGAGAUGCUACGGCGUCGAAGCAGUGUAUGUCAGACUUCCAAGAAAAGCUCGCAAUGUCAUAAAUAAAGAAUGCCUGUACCAUAACCGACACAGGUGGGUAGGUAGAGUAUACUAAGGGGCGCGAGAUAACUCUCUCUAAGGAACUCGGCAAAAUAACUCCGUAACUUCGGGAGAAGGAGUGCCUUCUUUAAGAAGGUUGCAAUAACAAGAUCCAAGCAACUGUUUAUCAAAAACACAGGUCUCCGCUAAGUCGUAAGACGAUGUAUGGGGGCUGACGCCUGCCCAGUGCCAGAAGGUUAAAGAAGUUGGUUAGCUUUUGCGAAGCUGAUGACUGAAGCCCUGGUGAACGGCGGCCGUAACAAUAACGGUCCUAAGGUAGCGAAAUUCCUUGUCGGGUAAGUUCCGACCCGCACGAAAGGCGUAAUGAUUUGGAUACUGUCUCGGAGAGGGACUCGGUGAAAUAGACUUGUCUGUGAAGAUGCGGACUACCUGCACCAGGACAGAAAGACCCUAUGAAGCUUUACUGUAACUUGAAAUUGAAAUUGGACUUUAUUUGCGCAGUAUAGGUGGAAGGCGUUGAAAGUAAUCUUGCGGGAUUAGUGGAGCCAUCAGUGAGAUACCACUCCUAUAAUGUUAGAUUUCUAACUUUGGAUCAUGAUCUGGUCAAAGAACAGUUUCAGGCGGGCAGUUUGACUGGGGCGGUCGCCUCCCAAAUGGUAACGGAGGCGUACAAAGGUUUCCUCUGAACGGGUAGAAAUCGUAUCUAGAGUGUAAAGGCAUAAGGAAGCUUGACUGUGAGACCUACAAGUCGAGCAGGGACGAAAGUCGGUCUUAGUGAUCUGACGGUGCUGAGUGGAAAGGCCGUCACUCAACGGAUAAAAGUUACUCUAAGGAUAACAGGCUGAUCUCCCCCAAGAGUUCACAUCGACGGGGAGGUUUGGCACCUCGAUGUCGGCUCAUCGCAUCCUGGGGCGGUAGUACGUCCCAAGGGUUGGGCUGUUCGCCCAUGAAAGCGGUACGCGAGCUGGGUUCAGAACGUCGUGAGACAGUUCGGUCCAUAUCCGGUGUAGGCGUUAGAAUAUUGAGAGGAGCCUUCUUUAGUACGAGAGGACCGAGAAGGACAUACCUCUGGUGUACCAGUUAUCGUGCCAACGGUAAACGCUGGGUAGCUAUGUAUGGAGAGGAUAACCGCUGAAAGCAUCUAAGUGGGAAGCCCACCUCAAGAUGAGUAUUCUCAU
This 1245-nucleotide ribosomal RNA is filed under the name metagenome. RNAcentral describes it as "bacterial LSU rRNA". It matches the Rfam family "Bacterial large subunit ribosomal RNA", at positions 1564 to 2817 of the family's 2925-position model. The record is from RNAcentral.